UAUUGGGCGUAAGAGCUCGUAGGUGGUUGGUCACGUCUGCUGUGGAAACGCAACGCUUAACGUUGCGCGUGCAGUGGGUACGGGCUGACUAGAGUGCAGUAGGGGAGUCUGGAAUUCCUGGUGUAGCGGUGAAAUGCGCAGAUAUCAGGAGGAACACCGGUGGCGAAGGCGGGACUCUGGGCUGUAACUGACACUGAGGAGCGAAAGCAUGGGGAGCGAACAGGAUUAGAUACCCUGGUAGUCCAUGCCGUAAACGUUGGGCACUAGGUGUGGGGGACAUUCCACGUUCUCCGCGCCGUAGCUAACGCAUUAAGUGCCCCGCCUGGGGAGUACGGUCGCAAGGCUAAAACUCAAAGGAAUUGACGGGGGCCCGCACAAGCGGCGGAGCAUGCGGAUUAAUUCGAUGCAACGCGAAGAACCUUACCAAGGCUUGACAUACACCAGACCGGCUUGGAAACAGGUCUUCCCCUUUGGGGUUGGUGUACAGGUGGUGCAUGGUUGUCGUCAGCUCGUGUCGUGAGAUGUUGGGUUAGUCCCGCAACGAGCGCAACCCUCGUUCUAUGUUGCCAGCACGUGAUGGUGGGAACUCAUAGGAGACUGCCGGGGUCAACUCGGAGGAAGGUGGGGAUGACGUCAAAUCAUCAUGCCCUUUAUGUCUUGGGCUUCACGCAUGCUACAAUGGCUGGUACAAAGAGAAGCGAACCCGUGAGGGUCAGCGAAUCCCUUAAAGCCAGUCUCAGUUCGGAUCGUAGUCUGCAAUUCGACUACGUGAAGUC
Molecule: ribosomal RNA, 776 nt
Filed under: uncultured Brevibacterium sp.
Lineage: Bacteria; Bacillati; Actinomycetota; Actinomycetes; Micrococcales; Brevibacteriaceae
Description: SSU rRNA
Rfam family: Bacterial small subunit ribosomal RNA
Source: RNAcentral